This is an RNA transcript of Solanum pennellii, 4070 nucleotides long. It is a transcript of the gene named homeobox-leucine zipper protein HDG11-like, with no coding region annotated. The record is from RefSeq and is a predicted model, not a curated record. The transcript has 13 exons. NCBI's taxonomy places the organism in Eukaryota, Viridiplantae, Streptophyta, Magnoliopsida, Solanales, Solanaceae.
AUAAAAUAAAAAAAUGUUGGAGCUAUUUUUGUUCUCCAGUGAAUGAACGAAAAAAGAAAAAGAAAACGUAUUCCUUGCUUCUCUGUCUAUGAAGAUAGUCAUCACGGAAAUCUGUGCAGUUAUAAAUAUGGAUUCAAGGUUCUGAGCUCAGGUCCGUGUAAUUGCUCUGCUUCUAUUUCCAAAGCUUAUGAAGGAAUUUGAGAGUGUUUCUUUUGUAAAUUUGUUUUAUCAAACAGAAAUUAGCAAAAAAAAUGACAGAUUCCGGGGAAGAGCCUAAUGAUGAAUCAUCAAAUUCCCAAAGAGGAUCAAAAAGGCAUAACAGACAAAGCAUGGAACAAAUCCAAAUACUUGAAGCAUUCUUUGAGAACUGUCCGCUUCUAAAUGCAAGUCAACAAAAUCAAUUGGCUAGGGAAGCAGAGCUUGAACCAAAGCAGGUCAGAAUGUGGUUUCAAAACAAAAGGACACAAAUAAAGUGUGAAAGAGUAUCAAAACACAUCUCAAGUGUUCCUGAAAGGCCUUCUGUGAUGGUUUCAAAUUUGGCGCCAUCAAAAUCAAAUCUUGUAUAUCCUCCUUCCUUUGGUCAGGAAAAUAAUACUAAUAAUAAUGUUCAAGCACAUUCAAUAAAUACUAAUAAUAUUUCAAUAAUGUCUCCAUCACGACAAGAACAUUACGAACUUCAUGAUAGGCAAAAAACAAAAAUGUUUGAGAUUGUUGUGGCUUCUAUGAAUGAAAUGGUUGAACUUUGGAAAAGAAAUGAUCCAAUUUGGAUAGAUUCAUCAAGUGAAGGGAGGUGUUCUAUUCAUCGUGAGAGUUAUGAAAGAACAUUUCCAAAUCCAAAUCGACCUUAUUACCAAUCAUCGGCUAAUCGAAUUGAAUCACCAAAGGAUUGUGAAGUUGUGUCAAUGACUGCAAGUGAGUUGAUCCAUAAUUUUCUUGAUCCAGUCAAAUGGAUGGAGUUGUUUCCUACUAUAGUCACAAAAGCUAGGACUGUUGAAGUUCUUGAUUCGGGGACUUGGGGAGGUUCUAUACAAUUAAUGUAUGAAAAGUUGCAUAUUUUAUCUCCUCUAGUGGAAGCUAGAGAUUUUUUCUUCAUACGUAGUUGUAGACAAUUUGAUCCAACAACAUGGAUUAUGAUGGAUGUUUCUUAUGAUCCAUUCAAUGAGAUUCAAAGUGGUGUACAUUCUUAUUCUUGGAAGUUUCCUUCUGGUUGUGCCAUUCAAGAUAUAGGUAAUGGCCAAAGUAAGGUUACUUGGGUGGAACAUGUUCAAGUAUAUGAAAAAAAGCAAGUACAUCGUAUCUUUAGAGACUUGUUGUGUGAUCGUCAAACAUACGGAGCUAAAAGAUGGAUUGUUACACUUCAAAGGAUGUCUGAGAGAUAUAAUUUUGCCAUGGGUGCAAUAUGCCCUACUAGGCAUGAUUUUAAUGUAGCUAGAGUGUUUAAUUAUCUAGAAGGGCUGAAAAAUACAAUACAAAUAUCUCAAAGGAUGGUGAAGAACUUUUUUGAAAUCCUAAGCAUGACAGACAACUUAGAUUUUCCAACUUCAUCACGGCUCAACCGCGGAGAUAGAAUUUCAAUAAGAAUAAAUGAAGAAAUUAUCCAACCAAAAGGCUUUAUUGCCACUGCUGCUACUUCUUUGUGGCUCCCUCUUUCAUUCCAAGAUGUCUUCAAUUUUUUCAAAGAUGACAAGACAAGAAGUCAGUGGGAUAUUUUGACUGGUGGGAAUAAUGUGAUUGAGUUAGCUCGAGUACUAACAGGAACUCUUCCAGAAAACAGUAUUACAAUCAUUCAGCCUUGUAUGCAAAAGGAAAUGUUAGUGCUCCAAGAGACAAGCAUUGAUAGUAUGGGAGCAUUUUUAGUUUAUGCACCCAUAGAUUUACGAGCAAUCACUUCAAUUGUCAAUGGAGGUGAUGUAAAAAGAGUUCCCAUUUUGCCCUCAGGUAUCACCAUAAGUCCUGAUGGUCGCCUCUCCUCGGAUAGGGACAGUACUGCAAAUGCUGAAAAUGGUUCAAUUUUGACAGUGACUUUUCAAAUAUUGAUAAGUGGUCAUAAUAAUCCAACCUCCCAGAAGCAACAAAUGGAGAUCAGGACAAUCAAGUAGCGGAUGUGCUUCCAAAGAAGGAAACAGAAUUAACAUACCCUGCCUAUAUCUCCAUUAAUCAGAAUCUGCUGCAACUAUAAUUAGGAUAAGUGGCAGCUUCCAAACCUAAUGAUCAGAUAUGAUAAGAAUUGUAUUCAAGCUACGGAGUUCUUGAUGGAGGACUUUAGCGUAAUUAGUGAAAUUGUUUCCAUUUGGUCAGUAGGUCACGCGUUCACGUCGUGGAAACAACCUCUUGCACAAAUACAAGGUAAAGCUGCGAACAAUCUUGAAGAAGUUCAUCAAUCGCUGGAUUUCUCAAAAUCUCUGUGAAUAUAUAUUAACUAAUUGUAAACUGUUUAAGAGGUUUCCAGCUCUAUGCAUCAGUUCCCUUAAAUAUCUGACUCUACAUGUGUGCUCUAGUUUAGAAACUUUUCCUGAAAUACUCGGAAGCAUGGAACUGGAGAUGGAGAUUCACAUGCUAGUUUGAUGAUGAGGGAUCUAAAUUCAAUGCAUUUUUCAUUUCCAUGUUUAUUGUGUCAGAAUGUCUCGUCAAUGCGGCAUGACAUCUCUGCUUCAGAUUUCUUGUCACUAUGAGCAUUUACCAUUAAGCAUGGUGGGAAUGGAUAAAAGUGUAUCAGUUAAUUUGCCUUAAAAUUGGUAUGUACCUGAUAACUUCUUGGGAUUUGCUGUAUGUUGCUCUGGCAGGUUAAUCUGACAUGAUAAAUUUUGUAAAACAGUUUGGUUGUGAAAUGCAAUGAUCAAGCUCUCUAACUUUAGCGAUACAACUGCAGGAGUCAUUUUCAUAUUUGUACCACGUUAAACGUGGAGGUUCAAUUUAUGAUAGUGGAAUAGAUCUUCAAGUAAAACAACCCUCUUGAAUUUUCCUACCUGAUAGAUAUCAUGUUGAAGAUGAUGAUGAUAGAUUGAGAAAGACAAUUACCACUAGAACUUAGUGCCUGAAGUGGUGUAGUUUAAUUAUCUCUUGCAUUAAUUACCAAAUUAGUUUUUCCUUCAAGAAGUAAAAUUUUGGUAUGAUUUUCAGGCCUGUGCAUCUGCUGAGGAAUUAUGCGGCAGUUGCCACAGUUAACUAAACUUCAAUAUCACAGAUACUUACUAUACUAAUAGCCAUCUUAUCUGGAAGAACCUAAUCUCGUAUACUAUGAACCAAAAUUAGCAAUGCAGUCAGCUGUACAAUUAAUGUCUGAUUUGGAGACACUGACUUUAGCCUUGUCAGUUAUCAAUAUCAUGUUAGUGAUAAUCAAGAAGUUUGUUUCUAUCAUAUUGCAGAUGCCAAAGUAAAAAAGGAAGAUCGUAUUCAUAUUACCAUCAUGGUAUGUGAAAAUUCCACCACAAGCUGCUUCAGGUACUGAGGCGCUGAAUUAACACAUGCCAUAUUCUCAAAAGAAGUUCGUACGAUUUUGAGCAAGAGGGUACCUGAAACUGACGCAGGUGAGUAGGUAUAGAAUACCUAGGGGCACGAGAAAACUUUGUUUAAGGAACUCAUCAAUAUAGCUGAGUAACUUUGUGAGCAGGGGUGCUUCCUCACAAAGGGGAUCGCAGUGACCAGUCCUGAGAGACUGUUAUGGUUUAUUCCAGCUGAUAUUAAGAAUUAAAUUGGAUCUGCAACUUAAGGGCUUAACUCCUUCCAAUUAGUUCUACAGUUCAAGAAAGGAAAUUGAGUGUUAAGGAUCAAUAGUGUCAUCUGCAUAGCAUAGCUGAGAGAUAUUUGGUCCCUUCUUGUUGGUGCGAAGAGGGAUGAAGUUUUGGCUUAGACGACCACUAACACUGCAACAAAAAAGACAUUUAGUGGCAAUAAGUUUUCCUUCUAGUGAUAAUAUUUAUUAAUGUUGCAAAAAUAUUUAGCAGCAAUUGAGUUAAUGUCAGUGCAUCUAGAAACGCUAAAGCCCCUUUAGCAACAUUUAUGUAAAGUAUUGGUUAUAAAUACUCAUAUUUAUUAUUGCAGCUAAAUAUAAUAUAGCGGCAAUUAUAUUA